Molecule: long non-coding RNA, 1684 nt
Organism: Vespa mandarinia (Asian giant hornet)
Lineage: Eukaryota; Metazoa; Arthropoda; Insecta; Hymenoptera; Vespidae
Source: RefSeq, a predicted model, not a curated record
AUUAUUGAGAGCGCUAUAAACGACUCUAUUAAUAUGUGAUAUCGCUUUCCUUAGCAUCUUAAUUAUCUAUAUUGAUGGCGGAGUAAGCUGAACAAAACAACAAACAAUAACAACACCCAUUUGAGAUUAGAGUUAAGAAGACGUGUGAAUAUAAUAUUCUAUUGACAAAAACGAUCAGAGACGCUUGAUCGAGAACACUCUAAAUCGAAUGUUCGAACCGGAGGAAACAAAUUACGGCGACCUGUGACAUUGUAUUAGUAGUAUAUUUAUUCGGGUAUACGCGAGCGCGCGUAGUAUACCCAUAGAACGAUCAUAUUUUAUUAAUAGCCAGAUAAAUGUAAUCAAUGGUCGAUUUCGAAUAUCGACGAACCUCUUGGGUCAUAUUCUUUCUUCUGUGAGAGAAUCGGCGAUCGAAGAAUGCGAUUUACUUUUUAACAAAUUAACGACAGUCCCUGCUUAUUAUAAUAGUUGGUUGAGUGAGUACUUAUCUGUCUGCUGUGUGUGUGUCUGUCUGCUGUGUGUGUGUGUGUGUGUGUGUGUGUGUGACUGUGUGUCUGUGUGUGUGUGUGUGUUUGUGUUUGUGUUUGUGAGAAUGAGCAUUGAAUGGGACAGCGUUUUCUAUCGUACUCUACGAGGUUUUCGUCGAGAUAAAUAGAAAAAAGAAAAAGAGAGAGAGAGAGAGAGAGAGAGAGAGAGAGAGAGAGAGAGAGAGAGAGAAGAAAAAUAUAUAAGUAAUUCGAUUUACAUAUAAAACGUGCAAUGAUCGAAAUAUACUGGCAGAGUUUUGUGGCAGCUUAAAGUUCAUAGGAAACUAAUAAUAAUUAUAAAAGCUUCGAUUGUUAAAGAUAUUCGACAGAAACUUCGUAUAGAACGAACUUUGCGUUAUAGACACACACUCGAUUUUCUUUCGUGUCCGUAACAACGCGCGGUGUGCUUCAUUGUUGUCGUCGAUAUGGGAACACCGAGUAAACAGUAUUUUUUAGUUGGUUCUCUGAUAUUGACACUGCGUUCCUAAAUUGUUGUUUCUUUAUCCUUUUUAACGCGUCGUUGAACCGUACACGAAAAUUAAUGUCGAUACACGUAAUGCAAGUUUGAAUCUAAUGCGAACGACGUUACCACUUUUAUUAGUUUAACUUUGUUCUUCCUCUUCUUCUUCUUCUUCUUCUUCUUCUUCUUCUUCUUUUUUUUUCUUUUUUUAUCAUCAACACCUUUUAAUUCAUAAAUUGUCUAUAAUAUUAUAUAUAUAUAUAUAUGUAUACAUAUAUAUAUAUGUAUAUAUAUAAUCCAAUUAAUAUAUGAUAUAUGUAUAUAUUAUAAAAAAAAACGUUCUAGUUUAUAAAUAUAGAACUAUUGAUGAGCUCUAUACGUUUUUGUUAUAUAUAAAUUAGAGCACAAUUUUUAGGUGCAUAAAAACGCAUUUAUAAGUUGGGUAGUGCAAUUUGAAGAUAAUCUAUCGGCUUUGAUUUUAUAGAAUGAAAGGAAGAAAAAUUUGUGGAGCCCAUGUUGGAUCAUUGGACGAAUUUUUGAUAUCGUGCAAUAAUACCGUUCAGCAAUAGUUCCCCCUUCCCUCCACGCACCACCGUUUAUUAUUUAUCUGGCAUCAAUCAAUUUACACUUAAAUCGUUAUUAAUUUUUUGUAAAAAAUGUGAAAAAAAAAAGGACGCAAUUUUUCUUUUCUUUUUAC